UACGGGGGGAGCAAGCGUUGUUCGGAUUUACUGGGCGUAAAGGGCGCGUAGGCGGCCACCGCAAGUCGACUGUGAAAUCUCCGGGCUUAACCCGGAAAGGUCAGCCGAUACUGCGGGGCUAGAGUGCAGAAGGGGCAACUGGAAUUCUCGGUGUAGCGGUGAAAUGCGUAGAUAUCUGGAGGAACACCGGUGGCGAAGGCGACGUCCUGGACCGGCAUUGACGCUGAGGCGCGAAAGCCAGGGGAGCAAACGGG
This 254-nucleotide ribosomal RNA is filed under the name uncultured bacterium. RNAcentral's name for it is "partial 16S ribosomal RNA". It matches the Rfam family "Bacterial small subunit ribosomal RNA", at positions 524 to 776 of the family's 1533-position model. The record is from RNAcentral.